This 204-nucleotide ribosomal RNA is filed under the name uncultured bacterium. RNAcentral's name for it is "partial 16S ribosomal RNA". It matches the Rfam family "Bacterial small subunit ribosomal RNA", at positions 568 to 774 of the family's 1533-position model. The record is from RNAcentral.
UGCGCAGGCGGUUGUGUAAGUCAGAUGUGAAAUCCCCGGGCUCAACCUGGGAACUGCAUUUGAGACUGCACGGCUAGAGUGUGGCAGAGGGGGUAGAAUUCCACGUGUAGCAGUGAAAUGCGUAGAGAUGUGGAGGAAUACCGAUGGCGAAGGCAGCCCCCUGGGCCAAUACUGACGCUCAUGCACGAAAGCUGGGAGCAAACA